This 421-nucleotide ribosomal RNA is filed under the name uncultured archaeon. RNAcentral describes it as "bacterial SSU rRNA". It matches the Rfam family "Archaeal small subunit ribosomal RNA", at positions 459 to 880 of the family's 1478-position model. The record is from RNAcentral.
CAGCCGCCGCGGUAAAACCAGCACCUCAAGUGGUCAGGAGGAUUAUUGGGCCUAAAGCAUCCGUAGCCGGUUCUGUAAGUUUCCGGUUAAAUCCACUAGCUCAACUAAUGGGCUGCCGGAAAUACUGCAGAACUAGGGAGUGGGAGAGGUAGACGGUACUCGGGAGGAAGGGGUAAAAUCCUUUGAUCUCUUGAUGACCACCUGUGGCGAAGGCGGUCUACCAGAACACGUUCGACGGUGAGGGAUGAAAGCUGGGGGAGCAAACCGGAUUAGAUACCCGGGUAGUCCCAGCUGUAAACGAUGCAGACUCGGUGAUGCACUGGCUUUUGGCCAGUGCAGUGCCGCAGGGAAGCCGUUAAGUUUGCCGCCUGGGAAGUACGUACGCAAGUAUGAAACUUAAAGGAGUUGGCGGAGGAGCACA